This 72-nucleotide transfer RNA is filed under the name Ornithorhynchus anatinus (platypus). It matches the Rfam family "tRNA". From Rfam's summary of the family: Transfer RNA (tRNA) molecules are approximately 80 nucleotides in length. Their secondary structure includes four short double-helical elements and three loops (D, anti-codon, and T loops). Further hydrogen bonds mediate the characteristic L-shaped molecular structure. tRNAs have two regions of fundamental functional importance: the anti-codon, which is responsible for specific mRNA codon recognition, and the 3' end, to which the tRNAs corresponding amino acid is attached (by aminoacyl-tRNA synthetases). tRNAs cope with the degeneracy of the genetic code in two manners: having more than one tRNA (with a specific anti-codon) for a particular amino acid; and 'wobble' base-pairing, i.e. permitting non-standard base-pairing at the 3rd anti-codon position. The record is from Rfam by way of RNAcentral. Lineage: Eukaryota; Metazoa; Chordata; Mammalia; Monotremata; Ornithorhynchidae.
GGCAGUGUGGUUUAGUGGAGAAAACAUGGGCCUGGGAGUCAAAGGACCUGGGUCCUAUUCCUAACCCUGCCA